GCAAGGACUAGUUAAGGUGGAAAGAUGGAUGUGAAUCCUUUCAGAGAAAGAAAACAGAAGACACUGGGCCACAUGGGGACUCGGGGGGAACCCUAAAACAAAAUCCCCAGGAGACAAUUUAUUGUGGGCUUUCCCUGUGUAAGGAAUGGUGCGAGCGUGCGUCUGUCUAGACAGUGGGUCACCUCCUCUGUCGUGUGGGGCUGUCAGCUGCUGGGAGGAAGGUGAGUCACUGCUUCUUAGUCACCAGCCCCUGACCAGCCCGGCCGGCCCGUGACAGUGUGUGCGUCUGUGAUUGUCUAUGCAGGUCUUUCUUGAAGAAGAGGAAAGACUGAUUCCCUAGCAGGGCGGCCGGUGGGGGGUGGGGGGAUGGGGGGGAGGGGAGGAGGGGGAAAGGGGGGAGAGAGAAGCCGGCAGGAAAUGGUUCUGGCAGGCUCAGAGCCAUCAGCACUUGCCAAAGGGAGUGGGGAGGCAUCACGCAAGGAAGAGCCAGGACAGCAAGUUAUCUGUUGAUGAGAAGGGAGAACAUUCUCCACAAGAGAUCUGGAAGCCAUUAGGGCCUGGCAGAGGUGCCGGGUAGCAACCGAAAACCAGGCACACGUGACUCGGGGUGCGAUGACCUUCCUCUCAGAGAUGGCUCAGAGGGCAGGCCUUGGCCUUCUCCAAGGCCUGGCGGGGGGCAGCCCAUUCCCAGGAGGGCCCAGACCUGGAUGCAGAUGAGGCGGCCUGGCCCUGACUGUGGUCUGGGCACCUCUCCAUCUCCUCUGGGGCCUCAGGGCCACCAAGAAGGACACUGAGGAUGGGGUCUGAAGGUUGAAGCUGCUUGAAGGCAGGGCAAGGCUACCUCCCACCCCUCCCUGCCUCCUCUGCAGGACCCCAGGAGGAAACACACCAGCUUCUUCAAUAAACAAGACCCAGUUCCUCCAAGCUGGCGGUACCGGAGCAGGUUGCUGAAGAGAGCCCUCCGCAUGUCCACGGCCAUGCGCUCGCCGAUGCGGGACAGCAGCACCAGGUACCCGAAGGUCAGCAGUCCCUGAGGGAGAGGCCCAGCACUCAGCGGUGCCCAGGCGGCUCCUCUCUGUGCCCCCAGGCCCUCCCUCCUGCUGUACCUGGAUGCCGUAGAGGAUGAGCAGGACCAGCAGGUGGGGACGCAGAAACUGCCAGAAGAGCUUCCAGUUAAAGCGGGACUCCGUGACACAGGGUCUGGAGCAGGCAGGAGGGGCCUCUUCUGCCUCACACAGCGCCACAAGACAGAGGCGGGGG
This is a long non-coding RNA of Equus quagga, 1260 nucleotides long. RefSeq lists it as uncharacterized. The record is from RefSeq and is a predicted model, not a curated record. The transcript has 3 exons. Lineage: Eukaryota; Metazoa; Chordata; Mammalia; Perissodactyla; Equidae.